GGGGGGGGGGGGGGGGGGGGGGGGGGGGGGGGGGGGGGGGGGGGGGGGCUGGGGGGGGGGGGGGCGCGAGGGGCGAGCGGGGGGGUAACGCGGGGGUAGGCUGCCCUUGGGGGUGGGAGAACUGCAGGAGACGGGGGCUAAUACCGGAUAGGAGCUCCGGCUGCAUGGUGGGGGGUGGAAAGUUUCGGCGGUUGGGAAUGGACUCGCGGCUUAUCAGCUUGUUGGUGGGGUAGUGGCUUACCAAGGCUUUGACGGGUAGCCGGCCUGAGAGGGUGACCGGCCACAUUGGGACUGAGAUACGGCCCAGACUCCUACGGGAGGCAGCAGUGGGGAAUAUUGCACAAUGGGCGGAAGCCUGAUGCAGCAACGCCGCGUGCGGGAUGACGGCCUUCGGGUUGUAAACCGCUUUCGCCUGUGACGAAGCGUGAGUGACGGUAAUGGGUAAAGAAGCACCGGCUAACUACGUG
RNAcentral lists this ribosomal RNA (467 nucleotides) under uncultured bacterium. RNAcentral's name for it is "partial 16S ribosomal RNA". The stretch from base 57 to 467 matches the Rfam family "Bacterial small subunit ribosomal RNA", at positions 39 to 507 of the family's 1533-position model. The record is from RNAcentral.